RNAcentral lists this ribosomal RNA (505 nucleotides) under uncultured bacterium. RNAcentral describes it as "partial 16S ribosomal RNA". It matches the Rfam family "Bacterial small subunit ribosomal RNA", at positions 28 to 504 of the family's 1533-position model. The record is from RNAcentral.
GACGAACGCUGGCGGCGUGCCUAAUACAUGCAAGUCGAACGCUUCUUUCCUCCCGAGUGCUUGCACUCAAUUGGAAAGAGGAGUGGCGGACGGGUGAGUAACACGUGGGUAACCUACCCAUCAGAGGGGGAUAACACUUGGAAACAGGUGCUAAUACCGCAUAACAGUUUAUGCCGCAUGGCAUAAGAGUGAAAGGCGCUUUCGGGUGUCGCUGAUGGAUGGACCCGCGGUGCAUUAGCUAGUUGGUGAGGUAACGGCUCACCAAGGCCACGAUGCAUAGCCGACAUGAGAGGGUGAUAGGCCACACGGGGAAGGAGACACGGCCAAGACUCCUACGGGAGGCAGCAGUAGGGAAUCUGCGGCAAUGGACGAAAGUAUGACCGAGAAACGCCGCGAGAGUGAAGAAGGUUUUCGGAGCGUAAAACUCUGUUGUUAGAGAAGAACAAGGACGUUAGUAACUGAAAGUCCCAUGACGGUAUCUAACCAGAAAGCCACGGCUAACUAC